RNAcentral lists this ribosomal RNA (207 nucleotides) under uncultured bacterium. Its description in RNAcentral is "partial 16S ribosomal RNA". It matches the Rfam family "Bacterial small subunit ribosomal RNA", at positions 568 to 774 of the family's 1533-position model. The record is from RNAcentral.
UGUGUAGGCGGUUCUUUAAGUUUGGUGUGAAAUCUCCCGGCUUAACCGGGAGGGUGCGCCGAAUACUGAGGGACUAGAGUGUGGGAGAGGAAAGUGGAAUUCCUGGUGUAGCGGUGAAAUGCGUAGAUAUCAGGAGGAACACCGGUGGUGUAGACGGCUUUCUGGACCAUAACUGACGCUGGGACACGAAAGCGUGGGUAGCAAACA